RNAcentral lists this ribosomal RNA (588 nucleotides) under uncultured bacterium. Its description in RNAcentral is "partial 16S ribosomal RNA". It matches the Rfam family "Bacterial small subunit ribosomal RNA", at positions 355 to 938 of the family's 1533-position model. The record is from RNAcentral.
UGGGGAAUUUUGGACAAUGGGGGAAACCCUGAUCCAGCCAUCCCGCGUGUGCGAUGAAGGCCUUCGGGUUGUAAAGCACUUUUGGCAGGAAAGAAACGUCGCGGGUUAAUACCCCGCGAAACUGACGGUACCUGCAGAAUAAGCACCGGCUAACUACGUGCCAGCAGCCGCGGUAAUACGUAGGGUGCAAGCGUUAAUCGGAAUUACUGGGCGUAAAGCGUGCGCAGGCGGUUCGGAAAGAAAGAUGUGAAAUCCCAGAGCUUAACUUUGGAACUGCAUUUUUAACUACCGGGCUAGAGUGUGUCAGAGGGAGGUGGAAUUCCGCGUGUAGCAGUGAAAUGCGUAGAUAUGCGGAGGAACACCGAUGGCGAAGGCAGCCUCCUGGGAUAACACUGACGCUCAUGCACGAAAGCGUGGGGAGCAAACAGGAUUAGAUACCCUGGUAGUCCACGCCCUAAACGAUGUCAACUAGCUGUUGGGGGCCUUCGGGCCUUGGUAGCGCAGCUAACGCGUGAAGUUGACCGCCUGGGGAGUACGGUCGCAAGAUUAAAAACUUAAAUGAAUUAACGGGGGUCAUAGCUGUUUCCU